GAAAAGGAUUCAAUAAAAAAUGUGUAGAAAAUGAAUAAGACAGAAUCUAAAAGAAACGUGGAUGAAAGGAUAGGUUCAGGGGUUUGUUUUGCUUCUUUUCUCUACAAUAGUAGAGAGAUUUUAUCAAAUUUAAAUACUGAUAAGUAAGAAAAAAGAUGCUAAAGCUACAAGUGGAGGCUGACGGACGGAGAGAGGUUCCUAAGGAAGAGCAGAGUGCGUUCACGCAGAAGGGAAAUCUGUGCACACUAAAAUGAACCGAGACUGUGACGAUGAAGGAAGGCAAGUGUUAGGAAGACAGAACAAUUCAUGCAAGUCCCGUCUGAUGUCUUCCCUUGUUGGAAGUGCAUGAAAUGUUGAAGAAGUUCAGAGGACAUUUUUAGAUGCACUACGAAAGACGAGGUAUGACAAAGAAGAGCUGCUGUGUUUGGGGUGGAAGGCUUCUCUGAGGAGGCUGGAGGCAUCACGCCCAAGAUCAGGAGAGCUCCCCUGCACAUUCGAGGAGGAGAGGGAAGACACAACAGAAGACAUGGCACACUUCCCUCCAUCCCAGAUGGGAAGGACAGCCACAGGCUGGCUGCCCAAGGUGAGAAUCAGGCUUUACAUCAGCGACAAAGCAGAGGAAUGACAGGACCAGAAUGAGCAUAUUCCAAGACCUGAGAGUGACCACACAUUAUGACAGUCAUGCUGAGAAGAGGCGGAGGAAGUCCACCCUUUAGAGGUAACACUCCAGUGAGGAGAACGUGCUGUUUUAUGCCUCUAUUCCAACAAGGUGAGAUUCCCCAAAAUCUUUUCUGAGGUUUAAAACGAUGACUGA
RNAcentral lists this long non-coding RNA (814 nucleotides) under Fukomys damarensis (Damara mole-rat). RNAcentral describes it as "lncRNA (ENSFDAG00000021705.1)". Lineage: Eukaryota; Metazoa; Chordata; Mammalia; Rodentia; Bathyergidae. The record is from RNAcentral.